CCUACGGGAGGCAGCAGUGGGGAAUAUUGCACAAUGGGGGAAACCCUGAUGCAGCGACGCCGCGUGAGUGAAGAAGUAUUUCGGUAUGUAAAGCUCUAUCAGCAGGGAAGAAAAUGACGGUACCUGAUUAAGAAGCCCCGGCUAACUACGUGCCAGCAGCCGCGGUAAUACGUAGGGGGCAAGCGGUAUCCGGAUUUACUGGGGGAAAGGGGAGCGUAGACGGCAGCACAAGUCUGGAGUGAAAUCCCGGGGCUUAACCCCGGGACUGCUUUGGAAACUGUGCGGCUGGAGUGCAGGAGGGGUAAGCGGAAUUCCUAGUGUAGCGGUGAAAUGCGUAGAUAUUAGGAGGAACACCGGUGCGAAGGCGGCUUACUGGACUGUAACUGACGUUGAGGCGCGAAAGCGUGGGGAGCAAACAGGAUUAGAUACCCCUGUAGUC
This 439-nucleotide ribosomal RNA is filed under the name uncultured bacterium. RNAcentral describes it as "partial 16S ribosomal RNA". It matches the Rfam family "Bacterial small subunit ribosomal RNA", at positions 338 to 795 of the family's 1533-position model. The record is from RNAcentral.